RNAcentral lists this ribosomal RNA (580 nucleotides) under uncultured bacterium. RNAcentral describes it as "partial 16S ribosomal RNA". It matches the Rfam family "Bacterial small subunit ribosomal RNA", at positions 355 to 932 of the family's 1533-position model. The record is from RNAcentral.
UGGGGAAUUUUGGACAAUGGGCGAAAGCCUCAUCCAGCAAUGCCGCGUGUGUGAAGAAGGCCUUCGGGUUGUAAAGCACUUUUGUCCGGAAAGAAAUCCUUGGCUCUAAUACAGUCGGGGGAUGACGGUACCGGAAGAAUAAGCACCGGCUAACUACGUGCCAGCAGCCGCGGUAAUACGUAGGGUGCAAGCGUUAAUCGGAAUUACUGGGCGUAAAGCGUGCGCAGGCGGUUUGCUAAGACCGAUGUGAAAUCCCCGGGCUCAACCUGGGAACUGCAUUGGUGACUGGCAGGCUAGAGUAUGGCAGAGGGGGGUAGAAUUCCACGUGUAGCAGUGAAAUGCGUAGAGAUGUGGAGGAAUACCGAUGGCGAAGGCAGCCCCCUGGGCCAAUACUGACGCUCAUGCACGAAAGCGUGGGGAGCAAACAGGAUUAGAUACCCUGGUAGUCCACGCCCUAAAACGAUGUCAACUAGUUGUUGGGGAUUCAUUUCCUUAGUAACGUAGCUAACGCGUGAAGUUGACCGCCUGGGGAGUACGGUCGCAAGAUUAAAACUCAAAUGAAUUGACGGGGUCAUAGCUG